Molecule: long non-coding RNA, 990 nt
Organism: Clarias gariepinus (North African catfish)
Lineage: Eukaryota; Metazoa; Chordata; Actinopteri; Siluriformes; Clariidae
Exons: 8
Source: RefSeq, a predicted model, not a curated record
AUGGAGUUGGGUCCUGCUCUCUUCUACGUCACUAUGAUCAGAUGAAAUAUACUUUCUGUUUUACUCCCAGGAGUGACAUACAGGACAUUGCUGCUGUAAGAGUAUCACAGUGGCAGCAGUGGAGAUGUUUACUCUACAGGAAAACUCUUGGACUGUCACAGUGGAAACAUUCUCAAGAAAGAUUCACACGAGAGCUUCACUCUUCAUCAUGUCCUUUCUGAAAGACAGAAACAUAAAGAAAAGGUUCACAUGUUAAAGUCACCAUAGAGGAUCCUGUUGGGGAAGCCCUUUCUGCAGAUUCUGAUGCCCUCCAGCACACCGUUACAGCGCAGCUGGUGCAUUACUAGAGGAUUCUCCAUGGCCCCAGGAGUCUUUGUCUCAUUAGGGAUGAUGCAGCGCACAAAAUGAGGAUGAGUUGAUCUCAGACUAUACAGACUGGGAUCUGGAUCAGGAUACUGCAGCAUCUGAACAGUGAACAAAUGCCCAUGACCACCUGUAAAAUGCCCACCAUACCUUUUAUGGCACACACCCACCACCAGAGCAAACACAGAGUCUGUUUAUUUGGGGAGGUUUCAGUGUCAAAGAGCACUUGGAAAAGCUUUAAAGAAAGAGUCAAAUGAUCUCUUCACUCUUCAUCAUGACCCUUCUGUAAAAGAAAAUAAAGACAAGAACAGGAGUUAUAAAUCACCAUAGAGGAUCCUGUUGGGGAAGCCCUUUCUGCAGAUUCUGAUGCCCUCCAGCACACCGUUACAGCGCAGCUGAUGCAUUACUAAAGGAUUGUCCAUGGCCCCAGGAGUCUUUGUCUCAUUGGGGAUGAUGCAGCGCACAAAAUGAGGAUGAGUUGAUCUCAGAGUUAUCACCUGUUGCAUCGUUUAUGAAACUGGCCCUCACUGCAGUGACUGGAGCAGCUCCCUGGGAUACUAGAGUGUACAGAGGCUCUCCAUACCAUUGAGUUUCUCACCCUUCGCACUCCAGCAGGAGCCUGGACGG